RNAcentral lists this ribosomal RNA (117 nucleotides) under Pteropus alecto (black flying fox). The record is from RNAcentral. Lineage: Eukaryota; Metazoa; Chordata; Mammalia; Chiroptera; Pteropodidae.
GAAUAAAGCACCAUACCUGAACAAACCCAAUCCCAUCUGAUCUCGGAAGCUAAGCAGGAUCGGGCCUGGUUAGUACUUGGAUGGGAGACCACCUGGGAAGACCAGGUGCUGUAGGCA